This 282-nucleotide long non-coding RNA is filed under the name Mus musculus (house mouse). RNAcentral's name for it is "predicted gene, 26861". Lineage: Eukaryota; Metazoa; Chordata; Mammalia; Rodentia; Muridae. The record is from RNAcentral.
GACCAAGCAUUCCUCCUUCCAGCCCGGGGAUCAGUGGAAAUUUAUUCAGCCAUUGAUUGUGAUAUCUUCAGGAAAGCAGAUGAAACAGUCACACAGGAGCAGAGCCUCCUCACGGCUCACCCUGUACCUUCCUCCCUGUCAAGUGGAAGAAAGCAAAGCAAUGAAAUUCAACCAGUAAGACUCUGGCUGACAGCAUCUUCAGAACUGCAUUUCUGUGGCAGUCAUAGCAAGAGAUUAGAAGAAUCUCGGUGUUUAAAAUUACAGCUUGAGAGGAGAACAACA